This 424-nucleotide ribosomal RNA is filed under the name uncultured Bacteroides sp. RNAcentral describes it as "bacterial SSU rRNA". It matches the Rfam family "Bacterial small subunit ribosomal RNA", at positions 338 to 754 of the family's 1533-position model. The record is from RNAcentral. Lineage: Bacteria; Pseudomonadati; Bacteroidota; Bacteroidia; Bacteroidales; Bacteroidaceae.
CCUACGGGAGGCAGCAGUGGGGAAUCUUCCGCAAUGGGCGAAAGCCUGACGGAGCAACGCCGCGUGAACGAUGAAGGUCUUAGGAUCGUAAAGUUCUGUUGUUAGGGACGAAGGGUAAGGAUCAUAAUAAGGUUUUUAUUUGACGGUACCUAACGAGGAAGCCACGGCUAAAUACGUGCCAGCAGCCGCGGUAAUACGUAUGUCGCAAGCGUUAUCCGGAUUUAUUGGGCGUAAAGCGCGUCUAGGCGGCUUAGUAAGUCUGAUGUGAAAAUGCGGGGCUCAACCCCGUGAUGGGGUCCGAACUGGUUUUCUUGAGUGCAGGAGAGGAAAGCGGAAUUCCCAGUGUAGCGGUGAAAUGCGUAGAUAUUGGGAGGAACACCAGUGGCGAAGGCGCCUUUCUGGACUGUGUCUGACGCUGAGAUGC